CUACGGGGCGCUCCAGUCGAGAAUCUUCCGCAAUGGGCGCAAGCCUGACGGAGCAGUGCCGCGUGAGGGAUGACGGCCCUAGGGUUGUAAACCUCUGUCAGAAGGGACGAAGAACGUGACGGUACCUUCAGAGGAAGCCAUGGCUAACUACGUGCCAGCAGCCGCGGUAAUACGUAGAUGGCGAGCGUUAUUCGGAUUUACUGGGCGUAAAGGGUCCGUAGGGGGUCUGCCAAGUCUGAUGUGAAAUCCUGCGGCUCAACCGCGGAACUGCAUUGGAAACUGGCGGACUAGAGUGUGCGAGGGGUGAGCGGAAUUCCUGGUGUAGCGGUGGAAUGCGUAGAUAUCAGGAAGAACACCGAUGGCGAAGGCGGCUCACUGGCGCAUCACUGACCCUGAGGGACGAAAGCGUGGGUAGCAAACAGGAUUAGAUACCCUGGUAGUC
Molecule: ribosomal RNA, 442 nt
Filed under: uncultured bacterium
Lineage: Bacteria
Description: partial 16S ribosomal RNA
Rfam family: Bacterial small subunit ribosomal RNA
Source: RNAcentral